This 410-nucleotide long non-coding RNA is filed under the name Gossypium raimondii (Peruvian cotton). RNAcentral's name for it is "long non-coding RNA (GRAI_LNC003297)". Lineage: Eukaryota; Viridiplantae; Streptophyta; Magnoliopsida; Malvales; Malvaceae. The record is from RNAcentral.
UUAUGUGUUGGCUUACGUCGAUACUUUAUUGGACUUAGAGCUGCCAUUGGAGAAAAGGAAGUUCGAUGAAGAAGAAAUCGUGACAUUAACCUCUGAGUUUCUUAACGCCGGCACCGAUACAACCACUACAGCUCUACAAUGGAUAAUGGCAAAUUUGGUGAAAUACCCUAAAAUUCAAAACAAAUUAUGGCUCGAAAUCAAAAGUGUAAUGGGAGAUAAUGAUGAUGAAGAAAUCAAAGAAGAUGAUUUGCAGAAGAUACCGUAUUUAAAAGCAGUGAUAUUGGAAGGGCUGAGACGUCACCCGCCAGGCCACUUCGUGUUACCUCAUCGUACGACGGAAGACACCGUGUUGGGUGGUUUUUGGGUGCCGAAAAACGGAACGAUCAAUUUCAUGGUGGCGGAUAUGGGGU